UACGAAGGGGGCUAGCGUUGUUUGGAAUUACUGGGCGUAAAGCGCACGUAGGCGGACUUUUAAGUCAGGGGUGAAAUCCCGGGGCUCAACCUCGGAACUGCCUUUGAUACUGGAAGUCUUGAGUAUGGAAGAGGUAAGUGGAAUUGCGAGUGUAGAGGUGAAAUUCGUAGAUAUUCGCAGGAACACCAGUGGCGAAGGCGGCUUACUGGUCCAUUACUGACGCUGAGGUGCGAAAGCGUGGGGAGCAAACAGG
Molecule: ribosomal RNA, 253 nt
Filed under: uncultured bacterium
Lineage: Bacteria
Description: partial 16S ribosomal RNA
Rfam family: Bacterial small subunit ribosomal RNA
Source: RNAcentral